UACCAAUCCCUUUGCCAUCUUCUCACAGGAGCCCAGGCCACUUCCCUAGGGCACCACCCUUGACAUGGCCCCAUCCAACACACAGUGGAUGUAGCUGAGAAGAUCAACUGACCAACAGAGGUCAAGUUCCCCUUACACCAUCUGUCUGGUUGUGGCGCUGGCUGAUGGUGAAAUUAGACCCAUUACAUCUUCUGGAGAAACUGGAAGGGGCUUGCAGUAGGUUGAAUGGUGGCCGCCCCAGAAGAUAUGUCCUUGGAACCUGCUAAUGAAACCUUACUUGAAAAAGGCAUCUUUGGGCCGGGCACAGUGGCUCACACCUGUAAUCCCAGCACUUUGCGAGGCCAAGGCCAGUGGAUCACCUGAAGUCAGGAGUUCAAGACCAGCCUGGCCAACAUGGCGAAAUCCCAUCUCUACUAAAAAUACAAAAAGUAUCUGGGUGUGGUGGUGGGUGCCUGUAACCCCAUCUACUCGGGAGCCUGAGGAAGGAGAAUAACUUGAACCUGGGAGGCAGAGGUUGCAGUGAGCCGAGGUCGCGCCACUGCACCCCAGCCUGGGCGACAGAGCGAGACUCCGUCUCAAAAAAAAAAAAAAAAAAAAAAAAAAAAAAAAAAAAAAAAAAAAGAGAGAGAGAGAAAGGCAUCUUUGUCAAUGUAUUUAAGUUAAGGAUCUUGAGAUGAGAUUAUCCUGGAUUGUCCAGUUAACCCUGAAUCCAGUGACAAGUGUCUUUAAAAGAGAUACACAGAGGAGAAGACAGACACAAAGAGAGAAGGUGAUGUGAAGAUGGGGGCAGAGAUUGGAGGGACGCAGCUACAAGCCAAGAAAACCAAGGAUUGCUGGCAGCCACCAGAGGCUGGGAGAGAGGCCUGGGUUGAGACGGCCUCAGAGCCUCCAGAGGGAGCCUGGUCCUGCUGACACCUCAGUUUUGGAGUUCUGACCUCCAGAACUAUGAGAAAAUAAAUUUCUG
This 964-nucleotide long non-coding RNA is filed under the name Homo sapiens (human). RNAcentral describes it as "HSALNT0330974". Lineage: Eukaryota; Metazoa; Chordata; Mammalia; Primates; Hominidae. The record is from RNAcentral.